CUUCCCGCCUGAGGGCCUGCCUGGCCCUGACUCCCGACCCGCUCCUCCUCCGAAGAGAGAUCGGGGCCGCUGACAGGGGCCCUCCGCAGCCACCGGGGAUGGGACUGGGGGGUCGGUUCCUGUCCCGGUGCAGCCGCCGCCGGGUAGACCGCCUGGCUUGGCCGCAGCCAGGGCGACAUGUAGCCCCGGUUCUGCCAGGCUGGGAGCGCCAGCCAUCUUGGGAGUUGCCAGGCAGCUGUCGCCAGCAGGUAGAGGGCGCCUGCAGCUUGGGCGCCCAGGUGGUGGAGCACGGCCUAGGCGGCCUCUGGAUCGCGAGUGCACCUGGCCUGAGAGCCCGCCAGGCCCUGCCCCUGCUCGGCUCCUCGUCUGCUGAAGCUCGGGACCUCUAGCCAGUGGCCCUCUGCAGCCACGGGGAAUGGGGCUGAGAGCCGGUUCCCGCUGCAGGGCAGACCACCUAGCUCAGCCGCAGCCACAGGGACAUCUGGCCCCGGUUCUGAGAUGUGGGGAGUGCUGGCGGGCUCGGGGGUUGCCUGGAGGCUGCUGCCUGCACACAGAAGGCGGAUGCAGCUUGGGUGCCCAGGCGGGCUGGAGGUGCAUGGCCUGGUCGGCCUCGGGAUCGCCAGCGCGCCCAGCCUGAGGGCCCCCAGGCCGUGCCUCCCGCCCAUUCCUCCACCGGAGGGGGAUCGGGGUCGCUGGCAUGGGCACUUGGCAGUCACUCCGGAUGGGGUUGAGCAGGGGUUCUCAGUUUUCGCCCCUGUGCAGCCGCCGCCGGGCAGAAUGCCUGGCUUGGCCGCAGCCACUGCUACACCUAGCGGGUCGGGCGGGCCGGGGGGUGAAAGCGCUGGGAGGCGGGUGCCUUCUCGCCCUGUGGCGCCUCUGGGCCCCACGGCUUGUCGGCCUCCGGCGCGCAGGGCUCCCCAGCAUCCUGGGCGCCGGCCCGCUGCCUGCACAAAGUCAACUCAGACAGGAUGAACUUCGGUUGCCUUGUCUGGCUGGGCUGCCAGGCGGGGCAGCUGACCUGCUGAUGGGGUGACUUUCUUCAUCUUCUUGCCCACAGGACAGCGGGCUGGGAAGCCAGGGGCCGCCGGGACCUGGGGCUGGAAACCACAUCUGCCCACAGCCGCAGCCUCCUGCACCUGUCAUCCUGGCGGCGCCCUGACGUCGGAGAAGCAGCAGGCGCGGAGCUCCUGCAGCGGGCACCGCUGCAGCAACCCGACCCGGCGCAGGCGGCAGUGGAAGGCGGCCUGCUAGCACGGCUCCCGCGGCCCCAGGACCAGGGGUGCGGCCAGCACCGCCCUCACUCCCCGCGUCUCGUGGAUAUUGCCCUCCCUGGAGGCGGCUGGACCUAAGCGAGGCUCGCAGCGAUCGGCCCCGCGAAGACUCGCAUGCAGGGCUCAGGAUCCCGCAUUCUGGCGCCGCGGCACCGCACCUUUCAGCAGCCCUGCUCCUCUUCUUGUUGGUAAACUUUUGUCACUCUGCCAUGAAAAGCAUCCAGGCGUCCUUGAUUUCGACAUUGCGUGCACGCUCAGCCGAGCUCAUCAGACGGGCGGUUGUCCCCAGAGCCCGCGGGUAGCUUGUUCCCGGGCGGCGGCUCCUGCUGGAUGCAGCUCCUUGUGGGCCUACCAGGCUUGGUGGAGCCACAGCAGACCUGUGGAGAGGAAGAGUAAGGCGGGCUCUGCAGGGCAGUGGGCCGGGACCAUGAGAGAGGCGGGUCAGUCUGGGCUCCAAGCUCAGCCUCUCGGAUUCCCCGGGACCCACGGCUUAUAAUGCGCUUAAAUCCCACGCCUCGCCCGAGAGACAGCACGUCACCGUCACCGUCACCGCCUAGCGCCCCUGACCCGCUCCCACUCCGCUGCAGCGGAGGGUGUGUGAGGGAGAGGGACGCAGGGAGGGAAAAGCGUUGGGAGGGCAAACAUCUUUUCAUAAGCUUUUCCCCUUCUAUAUGCCAUCUCUGAUGGGAGCCUCUUUAGAUCUUUCGUCCAUUUACUAAUUGGGUUGUUCGAUUUCUUAUUGUUGAGUUGUAAGUGGUUUUUAAUGGUCUGGAUGCCAGACAGGUGUUUUGCAAAUAUUUUCUCCGUCUGUGGCUUGUUUCUCCAUUCUCUUAUUUCCUUUCCCAGAGCAAAAGUUUUUAAUUGUAACGACUUCAUACCAAUAUCUUCUUUCAUGGUAGAAAUUUGUCUUUUAUGUACUUUACUGUUGUAUCUACAAAGUAAUUGCCAAACCCAAAGUUACCUAAAUAUCCCUUUUGUUAUUUUACAGAAGUUUUACAGCUUUUGGAUUUAAAUUUAGGUCUAAAAAUUGAAUUCAUAAAAGUAGAGAGUAUAAUGAUGCUUACCAGAGGCUGUGUUGCUGGGGAGAAAAAUGGGAAGUUGUUCACAGAUGCAAAGAUUCAGUUAAACCGGAGAAAUGCGUUUUGAAAUCUAUUGCACAGCAGGAUGACUAUAGUCAAUAAUAAUGUACUGUAUAUUUAAAUAACAAAAAGUAAAUUUCAAAUAUCUAACCACAAAAAAUAAAAUUGAGGUGAUGGGUAUUUUUUAUUUUAUUUAUUUAUUUGUUUAUUUAUUUAUUUUUUUGAGACAGAGUCUCGCUCUUUCGCCCAGGCCGGACUGCAGUGGCAGGGUCUCGGCUCACUGCAAGCUCCGCCUCCUGGGUUCACGCCAUGAGGUGAUGGAUAUUUUAUCCUCGAUGUAGUCAUUCCUCAUUUUAUACACAUAUCCAAGCAUCACAUUGUACCCCAUAAAUGUAUGCAAUUGUGGUUUGACAAUUUAAAAUAUUAUUAACUUAAAAAUGUGUCGUUCGAGUUAAUUUUUGAGGAGCAAGGUCUGUGUCUCAAUUCUUUUUUUUUUUGCAUAUAUGUAUAUAUACAUACACGCAAUGUAUUCAUCACUGUUUUUGAAAAAGCUACCCUUUCUCCCUUGAAUUGCCUUUACCUUUUUGUAAAAGAUCAAUUGACUGUGUUUGUGCACUCUUAUUUCUGAGUUCUCUAUUCUGUUCCGUUGAUCACUUUGCAAGUCCUUGAACUUUGUUCCUCCCCCACAAUAUUGUUGGCUAUUCUUGUUAGUUUGUCUUUCUAUAUAAACUUUAGAAUUAGUUUGUCAAUUUCCACACAAUAAUUUAUUCAUGUUUUCACGAGAGUUGUAAUGAAUUUGUAAAUCACACUGAAGAGAACUGACAUCUUAACAACACUGGGUCUUAUUUUGUGAAUACAGAUGUCCCUUCAUUUAUUUAGAUCUUUAAUCCCUUUCAACAGAUUUUAUAGUUUUUCUCACAUAGACCCUGCCCAUAUUUUGCUAGAUUGUGUCUAUUUCAUUUUCUUGAUGCUAAUGAAAAUGGUAUUGGGCUUUUAAUUUCAAAUUCUCGUUGUUCAUUGCUGGAUGUAGGACAGCAAUUGAUUUUGUAUAUUAACCUUAUACCGUGCAACCUUGCUAUAAUCCAGAAGGGUUUUUGGCUGAUGCUUUGAGAUUCUCUACAUAGAAAAUCAAGUUAUCAGCAAGCAAAGGGCAUUUUAAUGCUCCCUUUCCAAUCUGUAUACCUUUUAUUUUAUUUUCUUGUCUUAUUGCAUUAGCUAGGAUUUUAGUAUGAUGUUGAAUAGGAGCAGUGAGAGGGGAUAACAUUUCCUUGCUUCUUUUGUGUAAAACAUCCCAUUUUUCACAUUAUGUAUGAUAUUGUCUGUAGGAUGUUCUUUUGGUAUAUGUUCUUUAUCAGUUGAGGAAUUUCCCUUCUAUUUCUAAUUUGCUGAGAGUUUUAACCAUGAAUGGGCUUUGGAUUCCGUAAAAUGCUUUCUUGAUCUAUUAAUAUAAUCAAAUAACUUUUCUUCUUUAGCUAGUUAUCUGAGGGAUUGCCUUAACUAUUUUGUGUUAAGCCAGGCUUGCAUACCUGGAAUAAAUCUCACUUGGUCUUGGUGUGUAAUUCAACAAUGUAUUGCUAGAUUCAGCAUGCUAAUAUUUUGUUGAGAAUUUUUGAUGAGAGACAUUUGUCUGAACAUUUUUCUUUAAAUGUCUUUUUCUGCUUUUGGUAUUAGAACUUCAUAAAAUGAGUUGGGAUAUGUUCCUUUUGCUUCUGUUUUCUGGUAGCAAUUGUAAAUAAUUGGUAUCUUUUCCUCCUUAAAUGUUUCAUACAAUUCGCUAGUGAAACAAUCUAGGCCUGUUGCUUUCUUUCUUGGAAGGUUGUUAAUUAUUCAUAUAUUUCUAUACUAGAUAAAGAGUUAUUUGAAUUAUCUAUUUCUCCUUUUGUAAGUUCUAUGGACUACAUUUUUGUGUCUCCCCAAAAUUCAAGUGCCAAAAUCAAUCCUCAAUGUGAUGGUAUUUGAGGUCCUUUGAGAAGUGAUUAGGUCAUGAGGAUGGAGCCCUCAUAGGUGGGAUUAGUGGUUUUUUCUAGAAAGGUUCCUCACCCCUUCUGUUAUGUGAGAACAUAUUGAAAAGAUGGCUUCCAUGAGCCAGAAAUUGAGUCCUCAGCAGACAUGAAAUCUGCUGAUGCCUAGAAUUGAUGUUGGAUUCCCUAGCUUCCGGAACUAUGAGAAAUAAGUUUCUGUGUUUAUAAGCCACCCAGUUUAUGGCAUUUUGGUAUAGCAUCCUGAACAAACUAAAGGAGUUUUGGUAGUUUGUGACUUUCAAGAUAUGGAUCCAUUUUGUCCAAGUAAUCAAAUUUGAGAGCACAUAGUGUUUAUACUAUUCAUUUAUUAUCCUUUUAACGCCCAUGGCAUCAAUACUGAUAACCUUUCAUUUCUGAUACUAGUAAUUUUUGUCUUCUGUUUCUGUUUCUCAUUUGUCUCCUCUCCUCCAUUUCCCAUCCUCUUUCUGCCUCUUCUUCAUCCCCUUCUCCUCCUCCUCCUUUUCCUCCUUCUCCUCCUCCUCCUCCUUCAUUAUCUUCUUCUUAUCCAUUAGAUUAUAUAAAAGUAAGCAAAAUAGAGAUUUUAUUUUACCUUCAUGUAUUCCUUCUCUAAGCUCUCCCUUCUUUAUGUAGAUCCAAAUUUCUUAUAAUUUUUCUUCUUCCUGAAACUCUUCUUUGAAAUUUUUUACGAAGUAGGUCUGCUCGUGACACAUUUCUUCAGUUUCUGUUUGUAUGAGAAAGUAUUUUUUCUCCUUCACUUUUGAAGGAUAGUUUUACUAGAUACAAAAAUAUCAGUUGAUUAUAUUGUUCUUUCAACAUUCUAAAUAUUUCAACUUACUCUCUUUUGAUUGGAUGGUUUCUGACAAGAAGUCCUAUGUAAAUCCUAUUCUUGCUUCUUUAUAAAUCAAGUCUUUUAUUCCAUUCACUUUCAACAAUUUGUCUGUCUUUGAUUUUCUGAAGUUGAAAUAUAAUUUGCAUAUGAGUAUAUAUUUUUGGUAUUUUUCUGAACUUCCUGUAUUUGUGGUUUCAACACGUAAUGUUGUAAAAUUCUCAGUCAGUAUUACUUCAAAUACUUAUCUGCAUUUUUUCCUCUUUCUUCUCUUUCUAGCAAUCCCAUUGUGCAUGUGCUACAUGCUACAACAAUUAUUGAAUAUUCUGUUCUUUUUUCCCAUUGUUUUCUCUUUGCAUGUCAGUUUGGGAAGUCUCUAUUGACAUACCUUCAAGAUGACUGAUGUUGUUCUUGACCGUGUUCAGUUCACUGAUAAACCUAUUGAGGACAUUCUUCAUUUCUGUUGCAGUAUUUUGUUUUCUAGCAUUUUCUUUCUUUUUUUUUUUUUUUUUUAAGAAAAAGGGCUUAAUUUAUGUCACUGAGGCUGGAGUGCAGUGGUAUGAACAUAGCUCACUGUAGCUUCAACAUCCUACGAUUUAGGAAUUCUCCCACCUCAACCUCUGGGACCACGGGCAUGUGCCACUAUGCCUGGCUGGUUAUUUGGUUUUUUUUUUGUUUUUUUGUUUUUUUGUUUUUUUAAGAGAAGGGUCUUACUUUGUUGCCUAUGCUGGUCUUAAACUCCUGGACUCAAGUGAGCUUCCUGCCUCAGCCUGAGAUUAUAGAUGCGAGCUGGGAUUAUAGAUGUGAGCCACUGCAUCCAGCCAAAAUUGAUACAUUUAAAAUAUACUGUUUUUAAUAUAAAUGGAAGAUGGAGAAUCACUAUGAGUAUUUCAUUAAUAUUUUGUGGGAAGCCUAAUAAAAAUGAAAUUUUCUGUGAGUGUACCUCACCCUUCCAAAUGUUGAGCCACUUCUCCAAGGGACAGUUCUUCGGCUGAUUUUUGGUGUUUUAUCUUCCGCCAGUAGUGAAAUGAAUGACAUGACUUAUGGCCCAAGGCUUUACUCAGAAGCUUGGUGCCUGUUACCAGCGCUGCUGGGAGCUCCUGAGGUAGACACAAAGGCCAGGUGUCAGGGAGACUACCCAAGAGCAAAGAGCCGGAGAGGGGAGGCAUGUGCUGUUGGACAAAAUUGCCAUCACUAGGCGGGUACUGUGAAUCCAACAUAGAUCUGAGUCAGGUUCCAUAUGCAGGGUUCGGGGUGAGUGCCUGGGAUCACUCUGUGGCUGGAAUUCUCCAGAAACCUGGUUUAUACAGUGUAAUUGAAACUUGAAGCAGCAUCUGAUGCACCUUAGAUGAUUAGAACUGAUUAGAGGUUCUAGGCUGAUUAGAACUAGGUGAUUGGAACACGGUCUGGCUAGGAAGGAAGGGACCAUGCGCAUCAGGGCGGAGACUGCAGGUGGGCAGAUGGCCAUCACAGCCCAGCGGGCUGCCCUUUACUCUCCUCCAGGCCCAGGAGACUAAACACACUUGAGUCGCAACUGCCUCUGGGCGUGGGAACUGUGGUCUUGUUUCCAGUCACCUGUCCCAGCAAGAAGGAGCUUCCGUUGUGCUUGCAGACUUGACCUUACUAGUCUGGGCUGGGGAGUUCUGUGUCUGCCCAUGGCUGGUCAUUAUUGUCUACAAAACCUGCUGUGUGAUCUGUAAGAAUUUUUGUGACUAGCUAGCUCAAGGGCAUGAUGACAUGCCUAUGCUAUUGCUGAGGGAAUAUCUCUAUUUUCAGGUGAAGAUUGUUUCUAAUUUUAUGUUCAGAAUUACAUACAAGAGGCACAGUGGAGGUAUAUAAAUGAAGAUCCACCAGCAUUCUUUCAAAAUACUGAACCACAUUUUCUGAUAGACAUUGGGGUGGGGUGGCUGCAAGCAGAAUGUCUGGGUUGGCAUUCUCAUUCCACAGCUUCAUGCGGUGUGAUAGUGAGUAAUUUACUUUCCCUCUCUGUGUCACAGUUUCCUAUUCUCUAAAAACAGCUAAUAAUAAUGACCUACCUUAUAGACUGUUAUGAAGAUUGAAUUAAUUUAUAUAUGUAAAUAAGACUUGGAACAUAAAUUUUCUGCACAUUUUUUUUUGUUUUUUUGAGACGGAGUCUCACUCUGUCGCCCAGGCUGGAGUGCAGUGGCCAAUCUCGGCUCACUGCAAUCUCUGCCUCUUGGGUUCACGCCAUUCUCCUCCCUCAGCCUCCCGAGUAGCUGGGACUACAGGCACCCGCCACCAUGCCCGGCUAAUUUUUUGUAUUUUUUUAGUAGAGGCGGGGUUUCGCCGUGUUAGCCAGGAUGGUCUCAAUCUCUUGACCUCGUGAUCCGCCCGCCUCGGCCUCCCAAAGUGCUGGGAUUACAGGCGUGAGCCAGCGGGCCCGGCCGAUUUUCUGUAAAUGUUAGCCAUUGUUAUUGCUCCUAUUGACCUGAAGUAUAAAAACAGAAAUGUGACCCUGGUCCUUGACCUUGGGUGGAAUCACAUGAUAAGCAAUAGUUUAGGGAAAAUGUUUGUACCGGGUAUUUUCAUUAUUCAAAAUAUUAUUAAUAAUAAUGUGCUAUUAAGAUAAUGUUACAAAAUUAAAAUAUUGAAAAGAAGCCUCUGGUACAGAAUCAGAAAGUCUUACUGUGCAUGUGUGUAUUUUGACUUUCUAUAAUUCCUCUGUCAAUCAUAAGCUUUGCAGAUUUCAGUUAUCUGGGUCAACUUGCCAGUAGUAACUGCUUUGGUCUCCCCAUCUCUAACGCACCUCAUGAUCUAUUUGCUGUCCUGCUGCUACAGUAACCCUGCUACAGUUCUCUUACCUGAAGAUCUUCCUUUCCCAGGAAAACAUUUCACACUUUCCCUGACAACACAUCACACACACACACACACACACACACACACACACACACACCAUAAACACCCCCCAUACACACACACCACACACCAAAAACUCACACAUUCUACACACAUCACACACAUGAACACCCCAGCACACACAUAUUCAUACCACAAAUACCACACACACCACACACACAUCACACCCACCACCUACACUAACAUACAUACCACACACACACCAAACACACAUUCCACACACAUACUCUGAACACCCCAAUACACGCACACUCAUACCACAUGCACACCACACACAUCAAACUCAUACACACUGCACUCACUUCCUACAUCCACACACACCACAUACACACACCACAUGCAUCACACACACACACAAACACUCCCGCAUACACUCACACUCACAGUAUUAAACAAUACCACACACUGAUGCAUUCCACACACACACACCAUAGACACCCCAAUACACACAUACUCAUACCACACAUACCACACAUACCACCCCCACACACACCACAUGCACAUCACGCACACUCUCACAAAUACAACACUCACUACCUCCACUCACACACAUGCCACAUACACACACACCAUACACACCACAUGCAUAAAACACACACCAAAAACACUCCCUAUACACUCACACUCACGUACCACACAUAAAACACACACACAUUCCACACACACACCGUGAACAUACACACACUCAUCACACACACCACACACAUCACACAAACUCUCACACACCACUCCUACACACACACCACAUACACAGACACCACACACACCACCGCCAUCCCUGAUACACUCACACUCACAUACCACAAACACACCACACACACCUUCCACACACACACACCACAAACAUCCCCCAUACACCCACAUACCACACACACACCACACACUCCACACACACACCAUGGACACCCCAUGCAUACACUCAGAUCACACCCACACACCAAGCCCACUACACUCCAUAUAUACUCACAUACGCCACAUAAACACAAACCACCCACACCCACACACACACACAUCACACUCACUCCUUGAAACGCUUCUCUUCACUCACUGAUCCCUUCCUGACCCUAAUCCACACCCACCGGGCUCCCCAGGCUUUCUUCCACCAGGACCUCCAUAGCCCCUCCCUCCAGGGACUUCUCUCCACUCUAGGCUCCCUAUGGAGCCUCCGUUCCUUCUGCAGCUCUCGC
RNAcentral lists this long non-coding RNA (9222 nucleotides) under Homo sapiens (human). RNAcentral describes it as "non-protein coding FAM201A:8". Lineage: Eukaryota; Metazoa; Chordata; Mammalia; Primates; Hominidae. The record is from RNAcentral.